This is a long non-coding RNA of Prionailurus viverrinus (fishing cat), 957 nucleotides long. RefSeq lists it as uncharacterized. The transcript has 7 exons. The record is from RefSeq and is a predicted model, not a curated record. Lineage: Eukaryota; Metazoa; Chordata; Mammalia; Carnivora; Felidae.
ACACGGAACACCGUGGAAGGGAAAAGAGUUCUCAGUCAUCUUGCCACCAAAACAGCAUCACUGAGGCAAGGUUACGCAUUUUGGUGUAUUUCUUCCCAGACUCUAUGUUAAUAAAACUUGGUUUGUGAGCAUUUCGCCACCCCAGGAGGGCCAUGGGCCCCCCGUCCGAUUCAUCAAGUGCCUAAUGAGCGGCCCCGGAGGUCCCGGGCCAUCCAUUCCAGAAGCUCUCUCUGCCUUGUAAAGGCUCUCUUGCCUUCGCCAGCUUGUCAGGGUACUGCCAGCUCCGGGCAUGGGGCUGUGUCUGCCCCAACGUGGUGGAGAGCUGGAAUUGGAGCACUCGAGCUUGGGGACAGGUCAGCCUGGGGAAUGGAGACACGGCCAUGGGAGCUGCCCACCUUGAGCCCACAAGAGGAAGGAGCACGGGGAGGAGGUUAUGCUUGUGGGGGGUGCAGAACGAGGGAAAACAGAGAAGCCGGCUUGAACCAUCUCUCUUGCGAUGAGCCCUCUGCAUUAUCACCCACUGGCCCCGAUGCCAGCUGACAGACCUCAUCCAAACACUUGGCUGGGAUUUGGGGACUUCUUUUAACGCCUGCUAGUGAGUUUGCUGGCUUCCUGGAUGCUCAUUUCUGGUUCUGCACAAAAGAGCCACAUUUCCUUUUGGAACCGGGACCAGGAGACAGACAGCAGCAGACAUUGGAAAUUGUUGUGAAGAUUUGAGACUGUGAACGCAAAGGCGGGGCCUAUAGAUCGUGCUGGAUAAAGGUCUCUGGGCCAGUCCCUGGAGCCCCAAAAUAAAUGGGCAGAGGGGGCUGCCUGGCAUCGCGUCUUGGCCACCUACCAGCCGGACACCCCAGCACUCUCGCGGCCCUGCUGCCAGCAUGAGACGUGGCUGUGCCGGCCUGAGGAAGGACAAAGAACGCGCAGCCCGCUCGCCCGGUCAGCGCCGUGGAGCUCCUG